AAGAAAUGGCAGAGGGACGGAAACGAGGUUUUGUGGCAUGUGGUGCGUUCUUUUCAAAGGCAGUUCCGUCCCCGGUGGCGGUUUUGCGGUGGCGGAGGGUGUGAUACGGCAACGCUUAUGGAUAUAAGAUUUUGAAUGGUGAGUUUUCCCUUUUGGCUGAGCAGAAUUGAUGUGCAUCUCGGACAGAUAUAGUUAGGUUUUCCAAGAAUAAUACUGAAUUUUAUCAGUGAAGAUGUUAAAGAUCCAAACUAUUAAGGGAAAUUCUCUGAUGAGAGAAAAUGAUAAGGAGAAGCGUCAAAGACAAACGAGAAGGCAAAAUGUGGUGGCCAUCCUCCUUCUCACUUCUCAUGGAAGAAGCAAAAUCCAACACAUACACCUUUUAUAUACACUAAUUAGAGACGUAAUUGUCUUUGUUCCAAUAAUACA
Molecule: small RNA, 426 nt
Filed under: Vigna angularis var. angularis
Lineage: Eukaryota; Viridiplantae; Streptophyta; Magnoliopsida; Fabales; Fabaceae
Description: Non-protein coding transcript
Source: RNAcentral